AGAGUUUGAUCAUGGCUCAGGACGAACGCUGGCGGCGUGCCUAACACAUGCAAGUCGAACGGGAAUACGACUGUAGCAAUAUGGUCGUAUUUUAGUGGCGGACGGGUGAGUAACGCGUGAGCAACCUGCCCUUCGGAGGGGGACAACAGCUGGAAACGGCUGCUAAUACCGCAUGACGUAUUCGGGAGGCAUCUUCUGAAUACCAAAGAUUUAUCGCCGAGGGAUGGGCUCGCGUCUGAUUAGCUGGUUGGUAGGGUAACGGCCUACCAAGGCUUCGAUCAGUAGCCGGACUGAGAGGUUGAACGGCCACAUUGGGACUGAGAUACGGCCCAGACUCCUACGGGAGGCAGCAGUGGGGAAUAUUGGGCAAUGGGGGAAACCCUGACCCAGCAACGCCGCGUGAAGGAAGAAGGCUUUCGGGUUGUAAACUUCUUUGACCAGGGACGAAACAAAUGACGGUACCUGGAAAACAAGCCACGGCUAACUACGUGCCAGCAGCCGCGGUAAUACGUAGGUGGCGAGCGUUGUCCGGAUUUACUGGGUGUAAAGGGCGCGUAGGCGGGGCUGCAAGUCAGAUGUGAAAUCUGGGGGCUUAACCCUCAAACUGCAUUUGAAACUGUGGCUCUUGAGUGAUGGAGAGGCAGGCGGAAUUCCUAGUGUAGCGGCGAAAUGCGUAGAUAUUAGGAGGAACACCAGUGGCGAAGGCGGCCUGCUGGACAUUAACUGACGCUGAGGCGCGAAAGCGUGGGGAGCAAACAGGAUUAGAUACCCUAGUAGUCC
Molecule: ribosomal RNA, 780 nt
Filed under: uncultured bacterium
Lineage: Bacteria
Description: bacterial SSU rRNA
Rfam family: Bacterial small subunit ribosomal RNA
Source: RNAcentral